UACGGAGGGUGCGAGCGUUGUCCGGAAUCACUGGGCGUAAAGGGCGCGUAGGCGGCGCGGGUAGUCAUCGGUGAAAGUUCAGGGCUCAACUCUGAAUCGGCCGGUGAUACUCUCGUGCUUGAGCACUGUAGAGGCAGGUGGAAUUCCGGGUGUAGCGGUGGAAUGCGUAGAGAUCCGGAAGAACACCGGUGGCGAAGGCGGCCUGCUGGGCAGUUGCUGACACUGAGGCGCGACAGCGUGGGGAGCAAACAGG
Molecule: ribosomal RNA, 253 nt
Filed under: uncultured bacterium
Lineage: Bacteria
Description: partial 16S ribosomal RNA
Rfam family: Bacterial small subunit ribosomal RNA
Source: RNAcentral